RNAcentral lists this microRNA precursor (199 nucleotides) under Triticum aestivum (bread wheat). Its description in RNAcentral is "MIR1435 microRNA precursor family". It matches the Rfam family "MIR1435 microRNA precursor family". RNAcentral also lists the same sequence under 1 other name. The record is from Rfam by way of RNAcentral. Lineage: Eukaryota; Viridiplantae; Streptophyta; Magnoliopsida; Poales; Poaceae.
UAGGUUUGUCCUGAGUCAAACUUGCUUAAGUAUGACCAACUCUAUAGAAAAUGUGCAAAGAUCUACAACACCAAACACACAUAGUACGGAAAUAUAUUUCAUAAAGAAUCUAAUGAGACUAAUUUGGUGUUCCAAAUGUUCAUAUUUUUUUCCAUAGACUUGGUCAAACUUAAACAAGUUUGACUUAGGACAAACUUAA